RNAcentral lists this ribosomal RNA (500 nucleotides) under uncultured bacterium. RNAcentral's name for it is "partial 16S ribosomal RNA". It matches the Rfam family "Bacterial small subunit ribosomal RNA", at positions 29 to 523 of the family's 1533-position model. The record is from RNAcentral.
AUUGAACGCUGGCGGCAUGCCUUACACAUGCAAGUCGAACAGCAGCGCGGACUUCGGUCUGGCGGCGAGUGGCGAACGGGUGAGUAAUACAUCGGAACGUACCCUGUUGUGGGGGAUAACUAGUCGAGAGAUUAGCUAAUACCGCAUACGACCUGAGGGUGAAAGUGGGGGACCGCAAGGCCUCACGCAGCAGGAGCGGCCGAUGUCUGAUUAGCUAGUUGGUGGGGUAAAGGCCCACCAAGGCGACGAUCAGUAGCUGGUCUGAGAGGACGAUCAGCCACACUGGGACUGAGACACGGCCCAGACUCCUACGGGAGGCAGCAGUGGGGAAUUUUGGACAAUGGGGGCAACCCUGAUCCAGCAAUGCCGCGUGUGUGAAGAAGGCCUUCGGGUUGUAAAGCACUUUUGUCCGGAAAGAGAUCGCGCUGGUUAAUACCUGGCGUGGAUGACGGUACCGGAAGAAUAAGCACCGGCUAACUACGUGCCAGCCGCCGCGGUAA